CGCCCCCAAAGCUGGAGAGGAUACACAGGGCCAGGGAGCAAGGCUGGAGAGACGUGCUGCGUGCCGGCGGAGGCAGGGAGGUGAAGACCCCGUUUCUUGGCAGUGGAGGGGCUGUGGCUUCAUCAUCCUUUGAAUCACGAGGACAGUCUGAACAUUUCCAUGCCAUUUUUGAUCAAACGCAGCCGCAAAGUGCAGAAGAUCGUGAAGCUAGAUGGAAAGGAGAAACACAUGGCCGCGGACUACCAGAAAGAGGGAUUCUGCUUGGAGUUCGUCCAGGAUUUCCUAGCGAGGCUGCAGGUCAUCACCAUUUUCCUGAUGCUGACGAUAUUAGAAAAACUUUGAAAAGUUUGAAGGCUGUGUCUAAACAAGCCAGU
Molecule: long non-coding RNA, 374 nt
Organism: Carlito syrichta (Philippine tarsier)
Lineage: Eukaryota; Metazoa; Chordata; Mammalia; Primates; Tarsiidae
Exons: 3
Source: RefSeq, a predicted model, not a curated record